GGGGUACCGGUACAGAGUCAAUGUGGAGGCUAUAUACAGGGGGUACUGGUACAGAGUCAAUGCGGAGGCUAUAUACAGGGGGUACCAGUACAGAGUCAAUGUGGAGGCUAUAUACAGGGGGUACCGUUACAGAGUCAAUGUGGAGGCUAUAUACAGGGGGUACCGGAACAGAGUCAAUGUGGAGGCUAUAUACAGGGGGUACCGGUACAGAGUCAAUGUGGAGGCUAUAUACAGGGGGUACCGGUACAGAGUCAAUGUGGAGGCUAUAUACAGGGGGUACCGGUACAGAGUCAAUGUGGAGGCUAUAUACAGGGGUGUACCGGUACAGAGUCAAUGUGGAGGCUAUAUACAGGGGGUACCGGUACAGAGUCAAUGUGGAGGCUAUAUACUGGGGUACCGGUACAGUGUCAAUGUGGAGACUAUAUACAGGGGGUACCGGUACAGAGUCAAUGUGGAGGCUAUAUACAGGGGGUACCGGUACAGAGUCAAUGUGGAGGAUAUAUACAGGGGGUACCGGUACAGAGUCAAUGUGGAGGCUAUAUACAGGGGGGUACCGGUAAAGAGUCAAUGUGGAGACUAUAUACAGGGGGGUACCGGUACAGAGUCAAUGUGGAGGCUAUAUACAGGGGGGUACCGGUACAGAGUCAAUGUGGAGGCUAUAUACAGGGGGUACCGGUACAGAGUCAAUGUGGAGGCUAUAUACAGGGGGUACCGGUACAGAGUCAAUGUGGAGGCUAUAUACAGGGUGUUACGGUACAGAGUCAAUGUGGAGGCUAUAUACAGGGUGUUACAGUACAGAGUCAAUGUGGAGGCUAUAUACAGGGGGGUACCAGUACAGAGUCAAUGUGGAGGCUAUAUACAGGGGGGUACCAGUACAGAGUCAAUGUGGAGGCUAUAUACAGGGGGUACCGGUACAGAGUCAAUGUGGAGGAUAGAUACAGGGGGGUACCAGUACAGAGUCA
RNAcentral lists this long non-coding RNA (962 nucleotides) under Salmo salar (Atlantic salmon). RNAcentral describes it as "lncRNA (ENSSSAG00000086561.1, ENSSSAG00000117215.1)". Lineage: Eukaryota; Metazoa; Chordata; Actinopteri; Salmoniformes; Salmonidae. The record is from RNAcentral.